RNAcentral lists this transfer RNA (73 nucleotides) under Canis lupus familiaris (dog). It matches the Rfam family "tRNA". From Rfam's summary of the family: Transfer RNA (tRNA) molecules are approximately 80 nucleotides in length. Their secondary structure includes four short double-helical elements and three loops (D, anti-codon, and T loops). The record is from Rfam by way of RNAcentral. RNAcentral also lists the same sequence under 2 other names. Lineage: Eukaryota; Metazoa; Chordata; Mammalia; Carnivora; Canidae.
ACCUGACUGGCUCAGUUGGUAGAGCAUGCAACUUUUGAUUUCAGGCUCAUGAGUUCAAACCCCACAUUGGGUG